GACGAACGCUGGCGGCGUGCCUAAUACAUGCAAGUCGAACGAACCGCGACUGAGUGCUUGCACUUGGUCAAGGUGAGUGGCGAACGGGUGAGUAACACGUGGGUAACCUACCUCAUAGUGGGGGAUAACAGUCGGAAACGACUGCUAAUACCGCAUAGGACAUGGGAUCACAUGAUUCUGUGAGGAAAGGUGGCGCAAGCUAUCGCUAAGAGAUGGACCCGCGGUGCAUUAGCUAGUUGGUAGGGUAACGGCCUACCAAGGCGAUGAUGCAUAGCCGACCUGAGAGGGUGAUCGGCCACAUUGGGACUGAGACACGGCCCAAACUCCUACGGGAGGCAGCAGUAGGGAAUCUUCCGCAAUGGACGCAAGUCUGACGGAGCAACGCCGCGUGAGUGAAGAAGGUCUUCGGAUCGUAAAGCUCUGUUGUAGAGAAGAAACAGCGCAUAGAGUAAACUGUUAUGGCGUG
This 466-nucleotide ribosomal RNA is filed under the name Abiotrophia defectiva. Its description in RNAcentral is "bacterial SSU rRNA". It matches the Rfam family "Bacterial small subunit ribosomal RNA", at positions 28 to 476 of the family's 1533-position model. Lineage: Bacteria; Bacillati; Bacillota; Bacilli; Lactobacillales; Aerococcaceae. The record is from RNAcentral.